This 549-nucleotide long non-coding RNA is filed under the name Salmo salar (Atlantic salmon). RNAcentral's name for it is "lncRNA (ENSSSAG00000105350.1)". Lineage: Eukaryota; Metazoa; Chordata; Actinopteri; Salmoniformes; Salmonidae. The record is from RNAcentral.
CGGCGGUGAGAGCGCCGAAUCCUAACCACUAGACCACCAGGGAAAGCUACUUGAAUCAAAACAGUUUGACUUUUGUAUUGAUUACUCAGCGCUGAGUUAAAACUCUAGCCAGCUCUGGCCUUUAGUCCUUCGGAGUUCAAAGUCAAGCUGUUCCACUCUGAUGUUGAUGAAAGACCGACUGGCAUGCAGAAACAGCGGCAGGAGAGGGUUGGGCGGGUGGAACCACCGCUAAAAGUCGCCAAAACAGACAACUCUGAAGGUUAUGAGAAUCUAUCGUCUGAAGCUGAGGCAAUAUCCUUCCAUUCAAGGACUGUACCUGAAAUGAUACAAGAUCACUGAUGAAGUGUUCAUUACAAAAGUUCUUAUAAACCAGUGGACCAGAAGAAGAAUUCCUCACUACCGGCAGACUGUCAGAACAUCAUUUAUAACAGUUAUCUGUGGGACUGAUACCAGUGGAAGAGCUGGUCAUGUCUAAUAGUUAUCUAUGGGACUGAUACCAGUGGAAGAGCUGGUCAUGUCUAAUAGUUAUCUAUGGGACUGAUACCAGAG